UUCGCUCAACAUAUUAACAAAACUACCACUAUUGUCGCUUGCUUAACAAUUUCGUCUCCUUCAGUUUCACGUCUUUCCUUUUCUGCCUAUCCAUACAAAUCAAAAUAAAAAACUAUACAUAUUUCCAGUUGAAUUGCGUUUUAUGAGCAUUGGUCUUUGAUUGAGCUGAGACAUUUGUGUGGCAACAUGUUGUGGCAUAUUACU
RNAcentral lists this long non-coding RNA (204 nucleotides) under Ananas comosus (pineapple). RNAcentral describes it as "long non-coding RNA (ACOM_LNC014900)". The record is from RNAcentral. Lineage: Eukaryota; Viridiplantae; Streptophyta; Magnoliopsida; Poales; Bromeliaceae.